This 177-nucleotide non-coding RNA is filed under the name Anaerocolumna sp. MB42-C2. Its description in RNAcentral is "6S RNA". It matches the Rfam family "6S / SsrS RNA". From Rfam's summary of the family: E. coli 6S RNA was the first non coding RNA to be sequenced, but its function was unknown until recently. It consists of 184 nucleotides that fold into an extended hairpin structure with a large single-stranded internal bulge. The 6S RNA specifically associates with RNA polymerase holoenzyme containing the sigma70 specificity factor. The record is from RNAcentral. Lineage: Bacteria; Bacillati; Bacillota; Clostridia; Lachnospirales; Lachnospiraceae.
GAAAUCCUGGGGUGUUCGGGACCCCUACUAUUUUGAUCCUACAUUAUUAUUAAGGGAUUCCUAUAUUCUGAUUGGAUGACAGGCCAUCAUAGCAGUGGAAGCCAGAAGAUCAGAUGCGGUUGCCCACCUAGCAGCGCUAGGUAUCAAAAUUGUAGAUAACGGCAUUUUGGGUCAAAU